RNAcentral lists this ribosomal RNA (483 nucleotides) under Triticum aestivum (bread wheat). RNAcentral's name for it is "partial small subunit ribosomal RNA". Lineage: Eukaryota; Viridiplantae; Streptophyta; Magnoliopsida; Poales; Poaceae. The record is from RNAcentral.
AGCACUCGACAGAGAACCGCGGGAUCAAGGGCUCCGACAAAAGGCGACGCCGUCGACCCGACCUCGCUGCUCACGGAAGAGUGCGACGUGCUCAUCCCGGCAGCUCUGGGAGGAGUCAUAAACAAGGACAAUGUUGAUGCCAUCAAAGCAAAGUACAUCAUCGAGGCUGCUAACCACCCAACAGACCCCGAGGCCGAAGAGAUUCUGGCAAAGAAGGGCGUGCUGAUCCUACCGGACAUCCUGGCCAACUCCGGCGGAGUGAUGGUGAGCUACUUCGAGUGGGUGCAGAACAUCCAGGGGUUCAUGUGGGACGAGGAGAAGGUGAAUGGGGAGCUCAAGACGUGGGUACUAAAUAUGAGCUUUCUAUCUACAAACUUUUGUCCGCGAUCUGUUUGUGACGACUUCUCUCAAGGUAGGAGCCACUUUUGUAUGUAUACUUCUCUUGAUUCGUUCUAUGUUGUCAAGUUCUCAUUCAUUUGGUGA